This 390-nucleotide RNase P RNA is filed under the name Bacteroides sp. K03. Its description in RNAcentral is "RNase P RNA component class A". It matches the Rfam family "Bacterial RNase P class A". Rfam says of the family: Ribonuclease P (RNase P) is a ubiquitous endoribonuclease, found in archaea, bacteria and eukarya as well as chloroplasts and mitochondria. Its best characterised activity is the generation of mature 5'-ends of tRNAs by cleaving the 5'-leader elements of precursor-tRNAs. Cellular RNase Ps are ribonucleoproteins. The record is from RNAcentral. Lineage: Bacteria; Pseudomonadati; Bacteroidota; Bacteroidia; Bacteroidales; Bacteroidaceae.
GCAGUUGGCUGGUCUGUCGCGUGUGUUUCGGCACAGGAGGAAAGUCCGGGCAACACAGAGCAUCCCACUUCCUAACAGAAAGCUGUCCGCGAGGGUAGAGUAACGUAGAAGAAAAUAACCGCCUCUCUUUUUUCGGAAAGACAAGGUAAGGGUGAGAAGGUGGAGUAAGAGCCCACCAGCCGCAUGGUGACGUGUCGGGCUGUACGUCUUGGGAGUUGUAAGGUCAUGUAUACCGGCGUUAUGAGAGUUGCUCGCUCCAUGUCGGAGGGUAGACCGCUAAAGUGGCAUGGUAACAUGUCACUCAGAUAAAUGACAGGCACUUGUUUAAUUAAUAAUUAUAAAUUAAAAAUUAUACAAGGACAGAACUCGGCUUACAGGCCGACUGCUUUU